GCGGCCGUGGUGAACUCGGCGGACACGUCGGUCUUCCAAGCCGAAGCAGAGGGUUCGAUGCCCUCCGGCCGCU
RNAcentral lists this transfer RNA (73 nucleotides) under Amycolatopsis dendrobii. RNAcentral describes it as "Amycolatopsis sp. DR6-1 tRNA-Gly". It matches the Rfam family "tRNA". From Rfam's summary of the family: Transfer RNA (tRNA) molecules are approximately 80 nucleotides in length. Lineage: Bacteria; Bacillati; Actinomycetota; Actinomycetes; Pseudonocardiales; Pseudonocardiaceae. RNAcentral also lists the same sequence under 1 other name. The record is from RNAcentral.